UACGUACCGGACAAACGUUAUUCGGAAUUACUGGGCUUAAAGAGUGCGUAGGCGGCUUAUCAAGUCAGGCGUGAAAUUCCCGGGCUCAACCUGGGGGCUGCGCUUGAUACUGAUUGGCUUGAAUGCGGGAGAGGAUAGUGGAAUUCCCAGUGUAGAGGUGAAAUGCGUAGAUAUCUGGAGGAAUACCGGUGGCGAAGGCGGCAUCCUGGACCGGCAUUGACGCUGAGGAGCGAAAGCCAGGGGAGCAAACGGG
This 253-nucleotide ribosomal RNA is filed under the name uncultured bacterium. RNAcentral's name for it is "partial 16S ribosomal RNA". It matches the Rfam family "Bacterial small subunit ribosomal RNA", at positions 524 to 776 of the family's 1533-position model. The record is from RNAcentral.